CCAUGUGCUGGGAAAUAGUGAAAAACAAGACUGAACACUUCCCCCUAGACCUCUCAUAGUGUCCCAUGCCAGAGCAAACUGUAGCCCUGAACGACUGCCCGGCCUUUUCCAUAGGCCUCAGCACUGAAGCAGGUUGCACAAUG
RNAcentral lists this small nucleolar RNA (143 nucleotides) under Dasypus novemcinctus (nine-banded armadillo). RNAcentral's name for it is "Small nucleolar RNA SNORA42/SNORA80 family (ENSDNOG00000047323.1)". Lineage: Eukaryota; Metazoa; Chordata; Mammalia; Cingulata; Dasypodidae. The record is from RNAcentral.